AUUGAACGCUGGCGGCAGGCCUAACACAUGCAAGUCGAGCGGAUGAAGGGAGCUUGCUCCUGGAUUCAGCGGCGGACGGGUGAGUAAUGCCUAGGAAUCUGCCUGGCAGUGGGGGAUAACGUCCGGAAACGGGCGCUAAUACCGCAUACGUCCUGAGGGAGAAAGUGGGGGAUCUUCGGACCUUACGCUAUCAGAUGAGCCUAGGUCGGAUUAGCUAGUUGGUGGGGUAAAGGCCUACCAAGGCGACGAUCCGUAACUGGUCUGAUAGUAUGAUCAGUCAAACUGGAACUGAGACACGGUCCAGACUCCUACGGGAGGCAGAAGUGGGGAAUAUUGGACAAUGGGCGAAAGCCUGAUCCAGCCAUGCCGCGUGUGUGAAGAAGGUCUUCGGAUUGUAAAGCACUUUAAGUUGGGAGAAAGGGCAGUAAGUUAAUACCUUGCUGUUUUGACGUUACCAACAGAAUAAGCACCGGCUAACUUCGU
This 483-nucleotide ribosomal RNA is filed under the name uncultured bacterium. Its description in RNAcentral is "partial 16S ribosomal RNA". It matches the Rfam family "Bacterial small subunit ribosomal RNA", at positions 30 to 506 of the family's 1533-position model. The record is from RNAcentral.